GAUCCGCGACGUGUUUUUUUUCCAAUAUAUGAGAGUGUUUUUCAACGUUGUAACACGCGGAUUUAAUUUUUACAUACAGAUGUAUUUUGUGCACGCACUCUGCACAGUGUUGUCACAACUUACACUUAUGUUUGUUUGGCCACACGACGCGUUCAGCCAUUUUAUGUUUAUUCAUAUCACGUUUUGUUUCUACAAACAUGAUUAGCCCAAUAUGUUGCUAUUACUGUAUAUCAACACAAGCUUCAUUUUGGCAAGUUGCACAAAUUGCACGAUGAGACUUGGUUUUCACAUAUUUCACAAUUUUCGCAUAAUUUAUAUCAUUUUUUAACACAUUUUACAUUGACACCACGAAAUUUUGUUUUAAAUAUUGGUUUCAAAUUACAUUUUCAAAACUUUUAAAUAAAUUAUAGUAACUUUGAGAAGGUUAAAGUGUCCAUUUUGAUAUAUAUACAAAUUUCUUCAAAAUUUAAAAAUGUUACUUUGACAAGAUUAAAAUUUCAAAGAAUUGAACAAUUUUCAAAAUUUAAAAUUUCGUUUUAUUGGAAAAUUUCUUUAUACUUCCUUUACAAAAAUUUUUUAAAUUAUUCAAAGAUUUUUUAAUUUCACCGGGGAAAAUUGGGAUCAGGAUUUCCCCCAAAGUCCCAAAACUCUUCAUAAUUGGCAAACGUUUGGAAUAAUGGGAUAAAUUUACAGUUUCCAGAGUUGCAAUUUAACCCUUUCAAAACUAACAAAAGUUAAUUUGCUUUGGAAAGGCCAUUUCCUCCCGGGGGGGGGUGAUAACACCGCCCCCCCCCUACAAAAAGCGAUAAAAUCUAUCCCCUCCUCGGGGUUUUCAACCAGUAAAAACCCACCCCGUUUAAGGCCAAAUCCGUAAAAUCUAUGGAAGAUACUUUUCGCAUUUACUCACCUCCUGCCACUUUUCAAUUACUUUAGCCUCUGGCUAUAGGAAAUUGUUAGUGGCAGACGGGUGAGUAAUGCGUAGGAAUCUACCUAGUAGUACGGAAUAGCCAUUAGAAAUGGUGGGUAAUACUGUAUAAUCCCCGAGGGGGAAAGAUUUAUCGCUAUUAGAUGAGCCUACGUUAGAUCAGCUAGUUGGUGAGGUAAUGGCUUACCAAGGCUAUGAUCUAUAGCUGGUCUGAGAGGACGAUCAGCCACACUGGAACUGAGAUACGGUCCAGACUCCUACGGGAGGCAGCAGUGGGGAAUAUUGGACAAUGGGCGAAAGCCUGAUCCAGCUAUGCCGCGUGAGUGAAGAAGGCUUCGGGUUAACUCACCGC
RNAcentral lists this ribosomal RNA (1277 nucleotides) under Ehrlichia canis. RNAcentral's name for it is "bacterial SSU rRNA". The stretch from base 860 to 1277 matches the Rfam family "Bacterial small subunit ribosomal RNA", at positions 1 to 438 of the family's 1533-position model. Lineage: Bacteria; Pseudomonadati; Pseudomonadota; Alphaproteobacteria; Rickettsiales; Anaplasmataceae. The record is from RNAcentral.